GAGUUUGAUCAUGGCUCAGGAUGAACGCUGGCGGCGUGCCUAAUACAUGCAAGUCGAGCGAACAGAUAAGGAGCUUGCUCCUUUGAAGUUAGCGGCGGACGGGUGAGUAACACGUGGGUAACCUACCUAUAAGACUGGGAUAACUUCGGGAAACCGGAGCUAAUACCGGAUAACAUUUAGAACUGCAUGGUUCUAAAGUGAAAGAUGGUUUUGCUAUCACUUAUAGAUGGACCCGCGCCGUAUUAGCUAGUUGGUAAGGUAACGGCUUACCAAGGCGACGAUACGUAGCCGACCUGAGAGGGUGAUCGGCCACACUGGAACUGAGACACGGUCCAGACUCCUACGGGAGGCAGCAGUAGGGAAUCUUCCGCAAUGGGCGAAAGCCUGACGGAGCAACGCCGCGUGAGUGAUGAAGGGUUUCGGCUCGUAAAACUCUGUUAUUAGGAAGAACAAAUGUGUAAGUAACUGUGCACAUC
This 476-nucleotide ribosomal RNA is filed under the name uncultured microorganism. RNAcentral describes it as "bacterial SSU rRNA". It matches the Rfam family "Bacterial small subunit ribosomal RNA", at positions 9 to 469 of the family's 1533-position model. The record is from RNAcentral.